This 216-nucleotide ribosomal RNA is filed under the name Escherichia coli. Its description in RNAcentral is "partial 23S ribosomal RNA". It matches the Rfam family "Bacterial large subunit ribosomal RNA", at positions 229 to 483 of the family's 2925-position model. The record is from RNAcentral. Lineage: Bacteria; Pseudomonadati; Pseudomonadota; Gammaproteobacteria; Enterobacterales; Enterobacteriaceae.
CCGAGAUUCCCCCAGUAGCGGCGAGCGAACGGGGAGGAGCCCAGAGCCUGAAUCAGUGUGUGUGUUAGUGGAAGCGUCUGGAAAGGCGCGCGAUACAGGGUGACAGCCCCGUACACAAAAAUGCACAUAUUGUGAGCUCGAUGAGUAGGGCGGGACACGUGGUAUCCUGUCUGAAUAUGGGGGGACCAUCCUCCAAGGCUAAAUACUCCUGACUGA